Molecule: ribosomal RNA, 301 nt
Filed under: uncultured bacterium
Lineage: Bacteria
Description: partial 16S ribosomal RNA
Rfam family: Bacterial small subunit ribosomal RNA
Source: RNAcentral
CAGCCGCCGCGGUAAUACGUAGGGUGCGAGCGUUAAUCGGAACUACUGGGCGUAAAGCGUGCGCAGGCGGUUAUAUAAGACAGAUGUGAAAUCCCCGGGCUCAACCUGGGACCUGCAUUUGUGACUGUAUAGCUAGAGUACGGUAGAGGGGGAUGGAAUUCCGCGUGUAGCAGUGAAAUGCGUAGAUAUGCGGAGGAACACCGAUGGCGAAGGCAAUCCCCUGGACCUGUACUGACGCUCAUGCACGAAAGCGUGGGGAGCAAACAGGAUUAGAUACCCCCGUAGUCCCUGUCUCUUAUAU